This 214-nucleotide unclassified non-coding RNA is filed under the name Hevea brasiliensis (rubber tree). Lineage: Eukaryota; Viridiplantae; Streptophyta; Magnoliopsida; Malpighiales; Euphorbiaceae. The record is from RNAcentral.
GUAAUACAAUAUUUUCAGGAAGUUUACCUGAGUCGGUAGCGAACCUUAGGAACUUGUCGCGUGUUGAACUUAGAGCUUGUAAUUUUACAGGUCCAAUUCCAUCUUCUAUGGAAAAUCUAACCCAGCUUGUUCUUCUGGAUUUCAAUUUGAAUAGCUUCACAGGUUCAUUUCCUUCUUUUAAGCUGUCCAAAAAUCUCACUGAUUUAAACUCGGC